RNAcentral lists this ribosomal RNA (253 nucleotides) under uncultured bacterium. RNAcentral describes it as "partial 16S ribosomal RNA". It matches the Rfam family "Bacterial small subunit ribosomal RNA", at positions 524 to 776 of the family's 1533-position model. The record is from RNAcentral.
UACGGAGGGUGCAAGCGUUAUCCGGAUUCACUGGGUUUAAAGGGUGCGUAGGUGGGUCUGUAAGUCAGUGGUGAAAUCUCCGGGCUUAACCCGGAAACUGCCAUUGAUACUAUAGGUCUUGAAUUAUCUGGAGGUCAGCGGAAUAUGUCAUGUAGCGGUGAAAUGCUUAGAUAUGACAUAGAACACCAAUUGCGAAGGCAGCUGGCUACAGGUAUAUUGACACUGAGGCACGAAAGCGUGGGGAUCAAACAGG